RNAcentral lists this ribosomal RNA (275 nucleotides) under Allenbatrachus grunniens (grunting toadfish). RNAcentral describes it as "partial 12S ribosomal RNA". It matches the Rfam family "Bacterial small subunit ribosomal RNA", at positions 513 to 930 of the family's 1533-position model. Lineage: Eukaryota; Metazoa; Chordata; Actinopteri; Batrachoidiformes; Batrachoididae. The record is from RNAcentral.
CACCGCGGUUAUACGAAUAGCUGAAGUUGAUAAGUACGGCACAAAGGGUGGUUAAACUUACACAAAUAAAGCCAAAUACCCUCUCAAAGUAGUAAUAAGCCAUGAGGAAGUGAAGCCCGUUCUCGAAAGAAGCUUUAUUAAUUUGACCCCACGAAAACUAUUGAACAAACUGGGAUUAGAUACCCCACUAUGCUUAGUCGUAAACUUUGUCACCCGCCAGGACACUACGAGCGCCAGCUUAAAACCCAAAGGACUUGACGGUGCUUUGAACCCAC